GAACGGGUGAGUAACACGUGGGUAAUCUGCCCUGCACUCUGGGAUAAGCCUUGGAAACGAGGUCUAAUACCGGAUAUCACCUUCUCUCGCAUCGGGAGGGGUUGAAAGUUCUGGCGGUGCAGGAUGAACCCGCGGCCUAUCAGCUUGUUGGUGGGGUAGUGGCCUACCAAGGCGACGACGGGUAGCCGGCCUGAGAGGGUGACCGGCCACACUGGGACUGAGACACGGCCCAGACUCCUACGGGAGGCAGCAGUGGGGAAUAUUGCACAAUGGGCGAAAGCCUGAUGCAGCGACGCCGCGUGAGGGAUGACGGCCUUCGGGUUGUAAACCUCUUUCGCCAGGGACGAAGCGCAAGUGACGGUACCUGGAUAAGAAGCACCGGCUAACUACGUGCCAGCAGCCGCGGUAAUACGUAGGGUGCGAGCGUUGUCCGGAUUUAUUGGGCGUAAAGAGCUCGUAGGCGGUUUGUCGCGUCGGCCGUGAAAUCUCCACGCUUAACGUGGAGCGUGCGGUCGAUACGGGCAGACUUGAGUUCGGUAGGGGAGACUGGAAUUCCUGGUGUAGCGGUGAAAUGCGCAGAUAUCAGGAGGAACACCGGUGGCGAAGGCGGGUCUCUGGGCCGAUACUGACGCUGAGGAGCGAAA
This 644-nucleotide ribosomal RNA is filed under the name Amycolatopsis sp. 3121_2. Its description in RNAcentral is "bacterial SSU rRNA". It matches the Rfam family "Bacterial small subunit ribosomal RNA", at positions 100 to 758 of the family's 1533-position model. The record is from RNAcentral. Lineage: Bacteria; Bacillati; Actinomycetota; Actinomycetes; Pseudonocardiales; Pseudonocardiaceae.